AAUGUGUUUUUACAUGUGCUGGCACUUUCGAUUUUUAAGCUUUCUUUUCAUGAAUCCUCUGACAAAUGUGACUGUUUGCUGGUGUUAUGAUCAUGUGAACGUUUACAUGUUACAGUGAUCAGUUACUGUUUUACAGUGAUCGGUUACUGUGUUAAAUGUUACAAUGAUCGGUUACAGUGAAAAAUAUUACAGUGAUCUUUUACUGUGUUACAUUGAACUGUUGCUCUGUUACAAUGGUUGGUUACUAUGUUACAGUGAUCGGUUACUGUGUUACAUGUUACAGUGAACUGUUGAUGUGUUACAGUGAUCAGUUACUAUGUUACAUUACAUUUAUUGGUUACUGUGUUUCAGUGAACUGUUGCUCUGUUACAAUGGUUGGUUACUAUGUUACAAUGAUCGGUUGCUGUAUUACAGUGAUCGGUUACUAUUUUACAUGCUACAAUGAUCGGUUUCUGUGUUACAUUGAUCGGUUACUGUGUUACAUGUCAUCAGUUUUGUCAUGACUUGUGGACCCAGCAUCUCUCUGGUGUGUAAUUUGAUUAUUUUUCAGUGUAUCAUUUAUUGUAAAUACCUCACAGACCUGCUCUCCUCUGUGUCUGUAAAGGUUCCUGUGUUUAUCUAUCUGGUUUCUGUGAUGUGUGUCUUACGCUGAGCUGAAGACGAAAGACUGAACUCCUCCAGGUCAUGGGUCUUUCUGAGGGCUCUCCUGACACUCGUCUGGCCGAAGUAGAUGUUUUAGCUCUGUUUUCCAUUUUGCCCUGACUUUAAUUUUGUAAUGUAUCAAAAGAGUCCUUUUUACAAGAUACCUGGGCUUGUCUGUUUUGCCUGCUAUGAAAUGACUUGUCAUGCUGACACUUUAAUUAAAAAGGGACACUUGAGCACA
Molecule: long non-coding RNA, 883 nt
Organism: Carassius carassius (crucian carp)
Lineage: Eukaryota; Metazoa; Chordata; Actinopteri; Cypriniformes; Cyprinidae
Exons: 2
Source: RefSeq, a predicted model, not a curated record